Molecule: long non-coding RNA, 646 nt
Filed under: Mustela putorius furo (domestic ferret)
Lineage: Eukaryota; Metazoa; Chordata; Mammalia; Carnivora; Mustelidae
Description: lncRNA (ENSMPUG00000031057.1)
Source: RNAcentral
CACUUCUCAACCCCAUAAGUACAUGCAUCUAUUAUUCUAACUGCACAGCAGCUUUUGUGUUUAUGUUUUGCAUCACAGAUGACAUACAUAACAAUACAUGGUAACAUGAAACUAUGGGUCAUAAGCUAAACUUUUCCUUUGUGAACACAGAAUAGAACCGAUGCACAACUGGCCGCUUUGCAUGAGGAGAAUUCCCACAGUGGGAGAAGUGUUCCCUGGACCCUGCAGAUGGUAAAGUUAACAUUUGAGAGAGAGCACAAGCAGGAAUAGCAGCAGAGGGAGAGGAGGAAAGAGGCUCAUGACCUGAGAUCAUGACCUGAACCAAAGGCAGACUCUUAACCAUCUGACCACCCAGGCAUCCCUAUGGUUCAGUGCAACCAUUUCAGUUGAAAUCACCCCUUCCUGGAUUCCAGGUGUAUCUAAUAAAAGUACCCAUGUAAACCAGCUUAUCCUGUAUCCCGGCAGAAAGGUCAUCCCUAUUCUCAUGGUGGAGCAGUCACUUUACCAAAGAAAGCAUCUCACCAAAAAAGAGACCACUCCUGGAUACCUCCUCCGUAUGAGAAAAAAGCAGUAAUUGCUACACCUAACACAGGACUCAAACUCAUAAUCCUGAGAUCAAGAGCCACGUGCUAUACCAACUGAGCCA